CUACGGAGGGUGCAAGCGUUAAUCGGAAUUACUGGGCGUAAAGCGCGCGUAGGCGGACUGAUCAGUUGGGGGUGAAAUCCCAGGGCUUAACCCUGGAACUGCCUUCAAUACUGUCAGUCUUGAGUUUGGGAGAGGUGAGUGGAAUUCCUAGUGUAGAGGUGAAAUUCAUAGAUAUUAGGAGGAACACCAGUGGCGAAGGCGGCUCACUGGCCCAUUACUGACGCUGAGGUACGAAAGCGUGGGGAGCAAACAGGAUUAGAAACCCUAGUAGUCC
Molecule: ribosomal RNA, 274 nt
Filed under: uncultured bacterium
Lineage: Bacteria
Description: partial 16S ribosomal RNA
Rfam family: Bacterial small subunit ribosomal RNA
Source: RNAcentral